GUGGGGAAUAUUGGACAAUGGGGGGAACCCUGAUCCAGCCAUGCCGCGUGUGUGAAGAAGGCCUUUUGGUUGUAAAGCACUUUAAGUGAGGAGGAGGCUACCGAGAUUAAUACUCUUGGAUAGUGGACGUUACUCGCAGAAUAAGCACCGGCUAACUCUGUGCCAGCAGCCGCGGUAAUACAGAGGGUGCAAGCGUUAAUCGGAUUUACUGGGCGUAAAGCGCGCGUAGGUGGCCAAUUAAGUCAAAUGUGAAAUCCCCGAGCUUAACUUGGGAAUUGCAUUCGAUACUGGUUGGCUAGAGUAUGGGAGAGGAUGGUAGAAUUCUCGGUGUAGCGGUGAAAUGCGUAGAGAUCUGGAGGAAUACCGAUGGCGAAGGCAGCCAUCUGGCCUAAUACUGACACUGAGGUGCGAAAGCAUGGGGAGCAAACAGGAUUAGAAACCCUAGUAGUCC
RNAcentral lists this ribosomal RNA (451 nucleotides) under uncultured bacterium. RNAcentral's name for it is "partial 16S ribosomal RNA". It matches the Rfam family "Bacterial small subunit ribosomal RNA", at positions 354 to 796 of the family's 1533-position model. The record is from RNAcentral.